RNAcentral lists this ribosomal RNA (281 nucleotides) under uncultured Staphylococcus sp. RNAcentral's name for it is "partial 16S ribosomal RNA". It matches the Rfam family "Bacterial small subunit ribosomal RNA", at positions 81 to 356 of the family's 1533-position model. Lineage: Bacteria; Bacillati; Bacillota; Bacilli; Caryophanales; Staphylococcaceae. The record is from RNAcentral.
CUCCUUUGACGUUAGCGGCGGACGGGUGAGUAACACGUGGGUAACCUACCUAUAAGACUGGGAUAACUUCGGGAAACCGGAGCUAAUACCGGAUAAUAUUUCGAACCGCAUGGUUCGAUAGUGAAAGGUGGUUUUGCUAUCACUUAUAGAUGGACCCGCGCCGUAUUAGCUAGUUGGUAAGGUAACGGCUUACCAAGGCGACGAUACGUAGCCGACCUGAGAGGGUGAUCGGCCACACUGGAACUGAGACACGGUCCAGACUCCUACGGGAGGCAGCAGCG